This 417-nucleotide ribosomal RNA is filed under the name uncultured eukaryote. Its description in RNAcentral is "bacterial SSU rRNA". It matches the Rfam family "Eukaryotic small subunit ribosomal RNA", at positions 592 to 1018 of the family's 1831-position model. The record is from RNAcentral.
CAAUAGCGUAUAUUAAAGUUGUUGCAGUUAAAAAGCUCGUAGUUGGACUUCUGAUGUGGAGGGACGGUCCGCCUCACGGUGAGCACUGAUUCUUCACGUCUUCCUCUCGUAGUCUUUUGGCGCACUUAGUUGGGUGCCUUUAGAAUAUGGGACCUUUACUUUGAAAAAUUAGAGUGUUUAAAGCAGGCUUAUGCUGUGAAUACAUUAGCAUGGAAUAAUAAGAUAGGACUUUGGUUCUAUUUUGUUGGUUGGAGGCCAAGGUAAUGAUUAAUAGGGAUAGUUGGGGGUAUUCAUAUUUAAUUGUCAGAGGUGAAAUUCUUGGAUUUAUGAAAGAUGAACUUAUGCGAAAGCAUUUACCAAGGAUGUUUUCAUUAAUCAAGAACGAAAGUUAGGGGAUCGAAGACGAUUAGAUACCAU